ACACAUGUGACACUUAUGAUGUGUUUAUGAAGAUAAGAGGAAAAAUAAUUGAUCAAUACGAAAAUGCUAAUUAUGUCAUGUUAAUGCUUUUACAGAAUUUAUACUUGACUACUCCUUAUCCUAGUGGUUUUAUCGAAACAGAGAAGCAAUUUUUAAAAAUCCUCGAAAGUAAUGAAAAAAAGAAACAGCUGUUAAAACAUGGUAUAAAUGGGAUAAGUAGCAGGGACAGAAAAAGUAAUGAUAGUGUUAAUACUUUAAAUAAAUUAUACAAACCUCCCGGUUUUAUCAUAUACGAAAAAAAAAUAAGUGAAAAUAUGUAUCUACAAAUAAGAAAGUGUGGUUUUUCGUCUGAAUAUUUUAAAAAAGAUAAUGAUAGAAACGAAGAGGAGAUGAAUGAAAGUGAUAGAAUUUCAUUAGAGGAAACAGAAGAAUCGGAAGAAGAGGGAGUAGAAGACGAAAAUGGAGAUGCAAGUGGAGAUGGGGACGAAGAUAUCCCAAGUAAUAUAAUUUGUAAUAAAAUUAAAAAUAUGAAUAAAACAAAAAAUAAGAAGGGUUUAAUAAAAAAGGAGGUUCGUACAAAGGACAAGAACAUAAAGAAUCGUUUUAAAAAGAGGGUUGGUCACAUUAUGGAUAACAACUGUGUUACUGGUAAUAUUAGUAGCAGUACUAGUGAUAGUACUUUUGCCUUUCAUACUAGUGCAAGUAUUUCAUAUGAAUGUGAUAAAAAAAGACGCUAUAAAAAAGGUAUUAAUAAGGGCAUAGAUAAGGCCAUUAAUAAGAGUAGUGGUAUUUGUAAAGAGAAAAUAACAAAGGAAAUUGAAACAAAAGGAACAAAUAAAAAAAAAGAAAGUCUAGGAAUAGUAAAAAAAGUUGAAACUAGAGGAAGAAAGAAAAAAAGCGAAACUAUAGGAACUAUAGAAACAACAAAAAAAAUAGAAUCUAAAAGAGGGAGAAAAAAAUUAAAAAAAACAGAAACUAUAAAAGGAAGAAGAGGAAGAAGACCAAAAAAAAAUGAAAACACUGUAGUGCUAAACAUCGAUGAAGAUAUGGUGGAAGAAAAAGGAAAAACAAAAACAAAUGGGAGAGUUUUAAGAGGAUAUAAUAAUAGUAGUAAUAGUGAUAAUACAGAAAGGAAGGUAGCACAAAAAAUAAAGACAAACUUGAAAAAGGAGAAAGUUGAAAAUAAUAACAACAACAACAGUAACACUAACAGUAUCAACAACAGUAACAGUAUCAACAACAGUAACAAUAUCAACAACAGUAACAAUAUCAA
Molecule: long non-coding RNA, 1273 nt
Filed under: Piliocolobus tephrosceles (Ugandan red Colobus)
Lineage: Eukaryota; Metazoa; Chordata; Mammalia; Primates; Cercopithecidae
Description: lncRNA (ENSPTEG00000006283.1)
Source: RNAcentral